Molecule: ribosomal RNA, 253 nt
Filed under: uncultured bacterium
Lineage: Bacteria
Description: partial 16S ribosomal RNA
Rfam family: Bacterial small subunit ribosomal RNA
Source: RNAcentral
UACGAGGGGUGCAAGCGUUGCUCGGAAUUAUUGGGCGUAAAGGGUAGGUAGGUGGUCUCAUUUGUCUGGGGUGAAAGCCUCGAGCUUAACUCGAGAAGUGCCUCGGAAACGGUGAGACUAGAGUCUUGGAGAGGGUCGUGGAAUUCCCGGUGUAGCGGUGAAAUGCGUAGAGAUCGGGAGGAACACCAGCGGCGAAGGCGGCGCUCUGGGCCGGUACUGACGCUGAGGAGCGAAAGCGUGGGGAUCAAACAGG